Long non-coding RNA from Pyrus x bretschneideri (Chinese white pear), 1130 nucleotides. RefSeq lists it as uncharacterized. The transcript is spliced from 2 exons. Lineage: Eukaryota; Viridiplantae; Streptophyta; Magnoliopsida; Rosales; Rosaceae. The record is from RefSeq and is a predicted model, not a curated record.
UUUGAAGGUAGACUGAUCAGAACUAGGGUUUAAUUGGAGUUUGUUUGGGUUAUAUUAUGUUUUGCGAUAAUGUUUUGAAGGCAUUUGGUAUUUUUGGGUGUUCGAUUGUUGUAGGCUUGCAGAGGAGUGAAAUGGUUAAAGAAUCGUCCCACACAAGAACCACACCCGGAGGAAUUCUUUGAAACUCUUUGACUCAUCUCAAGAACCACACCCGUUCUUCCCGGAGGAAAAGAAUCAGUUUUCUUCUCGGAGAUUAUAUUUUGGAUGCAAAAUUUGAUGUUUUUGUGAUAUUGCUACCCAAAACAAGAAGUGAUAUUAGCAAUUCUGUCUCCUCCACCUACUCCCCGUCGCCUUCAGUGCCAUUCGAAGAUUGGGACUACAAAGUCGAACUCUUCCGUAAGUUUUCGUUUUUUUUUAUGUUGGCUUUGUAGUUUGUCACUGAUUUUGGUAUUUUAGAUUGCUUUUUGGGGAAUUUAAAGUUACCCAGAAACUCCAAUUGCAUAAUUUGUGGAUAUAAUUUGUUGGUAUAAUCUUAAAUAUGCUUUGGUCUUUUUCAAUUCACAUAACUAUACUACUGGGUUUUCUAGAUGCAUGGUAACAUGUAUACGCUAUGAAAGUAACAAGCAAAAUCACAUAUCUAUAUGUAGAAAGACUCCAGUCUUUGCCUCUAAUGCUUCUAAUCAGCAAAAUCCCAGGUGGGAUUCCUCUCAUUGUAUCAGAAUUCUGAGACAUUUUAACAAUCCCACAAAAAACCAAAACCAAAAUCAAAACAACCCAAAAUUCUUCACAAGACCUUCAUAUGGCAUUCAUUUUUCAUGUUCAAAAACUACCCAGAACGCAAAAUUGCAGGUUUCAUGUGUCAAAAUAUCAGAGCAAAAGCUUUAGAGAGGGAGAGAGAGUAGGAUGAAUCAGUGGCCAUACUAUUUCAGUGUGUUUUGGUACUUCCCUAAUCCUGUGAUUGAGUGCAGGGUAUAGCCGAAACAGAAAAAACUAAUGUACACGAAUUUCUUGAUGUUAACGGCAGACCAGUUCUCAUAUUGGAUGCUUCUAAGCAUCUUUCUGCUGUAAAUUUUAUAUUUUUCGCCAUGUCUGACUCCAUACCAUAUAAUCUUAAUAUUUUUGAGGUGUUA